This 77-nucleotide non-coding RNA is filed under the name pig gut metagenome. RNAcentral describes it as "ZMP/ZTP riboswitch". It matches the Rfam family "ZMP/ZTP riboswitch aptamer (pfl RNA motif)". Rfam says of the family: Previously known as pfl RNA. The record is from RNAcentral.
UUCUGUGACUGACGGAUUUGUGGGAAAACCACGAGGGAGCGGAAUAUUUUUUUCAAUGCCGACCGUCUGGGCAGUCU